CGUGUAGGCGGUUUGGUAAGUGGGACGUGAAAUCCCUCGGCUCACCCGAGGACCUGCGUCCCAUACUGCCAGGCUCGAGUACGGGAGAGGAUGAAGGAAUUCCUGGUGUAGCGGUGAAAUGCGUAGAUAUCAGGAGGAACACCGGUGGCGAAGGCGUUCAUCUGGCCCGAUACUGACGCUGAGGCGCGAAAGCUAGGGGAGCAAACGGGAUUAGAUACCCCGGUAGUCCUAGCCGUAAACGGUGAGCACUAGGUGUUGGAGGCAUUGACCCCUCCAGUGCCGCAGCUAACGCAUUAAGUGCUCCGCCUGGGGAGUACGGCCGCAAGGUUGAA
RNAcentral lists this ribosomal RNA (332 nucleotides) under uncultured bacterium. RNAcentral's name for it is "bacterial SSU rRNA". It matches the Rfam family "Bacterial small subunit ribosomal RNA", at positions 568 to 898 of the family's 1533-position model. The record is from RNAcentral.